ACUGGCGGCGUGCUUACACAUGCAAGUCGAGCGGAAAGGCCCUUCGGGGUACUCGAGCGGCGAACGGGUGAGUAACACGUGAGUAACCUGCCCCUGACUCUGGGAUAAGCCUGGGAAACUGGGUCUAAUACCGGAUACGACCAUUUCUCGCAUGGGAUGGUGGUGGAAAGUUUUUUCGGUUGGGGAUGGGCUCGCGGCCUAUCAGCUUGUUGGUGGGGUGAUGGCCUACCAAGGCGACGACGGGUAGCCGGCCUGAGAGGGCGACCGGCCACACUGGGACUGAGACACGGCCCAGACUCCUACGGGAGGCAGCAGUGGGGAAUAUUGCGCAAUGGGCGAAAGCCUGACGCAGCGACGCCGCGUGGGGGAUGACGGCCUUCGGGUUGUAAACCUCUUUCAGCAGGGACGAAGUUGACGUGUACCUGUAGAAGAAGCGCCGGCUAACUACGUGCCAGCAGCCGCGGUAAUACGUAGGGCGCGAGCGUUGUCCGGAAUUAUUGGGCGUAAAGAGCUCGUAGGUGGCUUGUUGCGUCUGCCGUGAAAGCCCGUGGCUUAACUACGGGUCUGCGGUGGAUACGGGCAGGCUAGAGGCUGGUAGGGGCAAGCGGAAUUCCUGGUGUAGCGGUGAAAUGCGCAGAUAUCAGGAGGAACACCGGUGGCGAAGGCGGCUUGCUGGGCCAGUUCUGACGCUGAGGAGCGAAAGCUG
Molecule: ribosomal RNA, 706 nt
Filed under: Microbispora sp. PM265
Lineage: Bacteria; Bacillati; Actinomycetota; Actinomycetes; Streptosporangiales; Streptosporangiaceae
Description: bacterial SSU rRNA
Rfam family: Bacterial small subunit ribosomal RNA
Source: RNAcentral